Long non-coding RNA from Salmo trutta (river trout), 1593 nucleotides. The record is from Ensembl. Lineage: Eukaryota; Metazoa; Chordata; Actinopteri; Salmoniformes; Salmonidae.
UUGUAUCUACUCUCACCUAGCCCCAGUAAUGUUGUUGUAUCUACUCUCACCUAGCCCCAGUAAUGUUGUGUUGUAUCUACUCUCACCUAGCCCCAGUAAUGUUGUGUUGUAUCUACUCUCACCUAGCCCCAGUAAUGUUGUGUUGUAUCUACUCUCACCUAGCCCCAGUAAUGUUGUGUUGUAUCUACUCUCACCUAGCCCCAGUAAUGUUGUGUUGUAUCUAUCUCACCUAGCCCCAGUAAUGUUGUGUUGUAUCUACUCUCACCUAGCCCCAGUAAUGUUGUGUUGUAUCUACUCUCACCUAGCCCCAGUAAUGUUGUGUUGUAUCUACUCUCACCUAGCCCCAGUAAUGUUGUGUUGUAUCUACUCUCACCUAGCCCCAGUAAUGUUGUGUUGUAUCUACUCUCACCUAGCCCCAGUAAUGUUGUGUUGUAUCUACUCUCACCUAGCCCCAGUAAUGUUGUGUUGUAUCUACUCUCACCUAGCCCCAGUAAUGUUGUGUUGUAUCUACUCUCACCUAGCCCCAGUAAUGUUGUGUUGUAUCUACUCUCACCUAGCCCCAGUAAUGUUGUGUUGUAUCUACUCUCACCUAGCCCCUGUAAUGUUGUGUUGUAUCUACCCUGUGCUCUUGAAAGCAGCCCCGUUCACUUGGCUUGUAAAUAGGGCACACAGGAACUAGCCACUUCCUGACUGAUCUCCUCUCUUCUUUAGAUAUCUCUUUAGUCAGAGACCAAAUCAUUUGUAUCACACUGAAAUGCACUCCUAGGUGUUGCUAUGUGCUAAAACAGACUAAGACUUAGAAGCUAAGUGGUAUUGAAGGACCGUGGUAUUAGACAGUUAGUGGCAUCCAUUUAGUUUUAAAGGGGCUUUUAAGGCUAUGAAAUCUUAAUGCUUUGUCAAGUGUUUUCUUAUUUUAUCUUAGCAUUAGGUUUAACCUUGGUCUGCUUCAUAGGUUUGAGGGUAUUGGGUAUUGACCAAUUGAAACAGAAGGAUCUGAUCCAUUUUGAUGUGAACUCAAAUGUGGUUCCUACCUAACAUUUGUCCUUUACAAAUGCACAGCAAGGAUGAUAAUGCCUUGUCCAAGACUUUAGGAAGUAAAAUAUGUAAACAUGAUUUGUUUUAUAUUUUUAAAGUUUAAAGUUGUACUAUUAGGUCUAACAGUAGAUACUAUGUCAAUUCAUCUAUUGUUAUUUUGAAUAUCAAAUUGCACAUAACACAUUUUCUUACAAACUACUUAAUAUUUAAGUUAUUGAUCUUGUCACACACUCCUUUUGGUUGGUUGGUCCGUCAUUGUAGAAAAACAAUAGAUUUAUCCCCUCAAACUGGCUUAUAGCUGUAGCUGAGUUGCAAAUGUAUGUUGAGGUUUGUAAUAUUGUUAUGUAAUAUAUUUCAUUGUACAAAUGCUCUUACUAAUAAUUGUACUGAUAAGGUUUAUACGCCCGUAGACAUUUUUGACACGGUUUAACAUGUAGCUUUAUAAAGCAUGUCUGAAUAAAUGUUGUUUUCUGUAUGAAAUAUCUUCCGUCAGAUUUGUUGGAUGUGGUACAACUAAUUCAUUUACAUUAAUCAUAUCCAUGUUUAGUUUUUUACUUC